This 468-nucleotide ribosomal RNA is filed under the name uncultured bacterium. RNAcentral describes it as "partial 16S ribosomal RNA". It matches the Rfam family "Bacterial small subunit ribosomal RNA", at positions 28 to 507 of the family's 1533-position model. The record is from RNAcentral.
GACGAACGCUGGCGGCGUGCUUAACACAUGCAAGUCGAACGGAAAGGCCCUGCUUUUGUGGGGUGCUCGAGUGGCGAACGGGUGAGUAACACGUGAGUAACCUGCCCUUGACUUUGGGAUAACUUCAGGAAACUGGGGCUAAUACCGGAUAGGAGCUCCUGCUGCAUGGUGGGGGUUGGAAAGUUUCGGCGGUUGGGGAUGGACUCGCGGCUUAUCAGCUUGUUGGUGGGGUAGUGGCUUACCAAGGCUUUGACGGGUAGCCGGCCUGAGAGGGUGACCGGCCACAUUGGGACUGAGAUACGGCCCAGACUCCUUCGGGAUGCAGCAGUGGGGAAUAUUGCACAAUGGGCGGAAGCCUUAUGCAGCAACGCCGCGUGCGGGAUGACGGCCUUCGGGUUGUAACCCGCUUUCGCCUGUGACGAAGCGUGAGUGACGGUAAUGGGUAAAGAAGCACCGGCUAACUACGUG